Molecule: long non-coding RNA, 1112 nt
Filed under: Daphnia magna
Lineage: Eukaryota; Metazoa; Arthropoda; Branchiopoda; Diplostraca; Daphniidae
Description: uncharacterized LOC116929866, transcript variant X6
Source: RNAcentral
GGUUUUAUAGGUGAGGAUCGAACACCGCCGCCCUUCCCUUAAUCGAUAGGGAUUAACCUUAUCAACGUGUUGAAAAAGUGGGAUAAAGAUGUUAACGUUUUCGUCUCUGCCGAUAAAGUAAGUAAACAAACAACCUGUUUCCCUAAUUUUAUUUAAAAAAAUAUGUAUUUAUAUAUAUAUAUUGUGAUUGCAUCAUCGAUUGUUCAUAUGCUUGUACAAAACUUGAACAAUCGAUGAUUGAUGACGACGAAUUCUUUAUGGCACACAAGUUGUGUGUGUCAUUGUGUUGGAUUUUCAUUGUGCCAUGUUUUAGGACCGUGUGACCAGAUCCUUGCUUUGAACGAAAGUUUCUGUCAAAACCAGGAAAAGUCGGUCCUUCUUCAAAUUAAUAAAGUCAAAUAAUACUAAAACUCCUGGUUCUAUUAUUUGGACACUUUGCAGGUAUGUUGAAAUUUUGUGCCGUAUUUGAUGUUCCUAGAUGUAGUGAAAUUAUAUCUUGUCUUGAGAAUCGAAAUCGUUGGAACAGAAAGAAUAAGCUGUCGGCAGAAGGCAUAUGGCAUAUCUAUCAAAGCUAAGAUUAAAAUACCUCCAAAAAAAGAAGCUACCCAAGAAUCUAAAACCUCUUAUUGGAUGUAUUGGUACAAGUCUGGAAAUAGGUGGACUCCUGACUGUUGGUAAGUGAGUUCUUCCAAAAAUCAUGAUAUUGAUCAUCACACCUUCGAACUCUGCACAUGCGAGUCUACCUUUUUCAAUGUGGUAGCAAAAAGUGCAGCACCCGCAGAGAAUUUCCCACUUGGUACAAUUGAUCUGAAUGAAAAUAAGUGUUGUUUUAGUGACUAUGAACAAAACUUAUGGUUACUGUCAUAUUAAACUUUACGGUUUGGUGUUCAAACAAGGUAGCAGUUCCUGGUGAAAGGUUUGAUUGGUUGCUUCAGCAUUAUAAAUCCUCAAGAUUCACUAUUUACUGGAUCAGAAGCUCAUACAGCUGGCAGCAACAGAAACCCUGUUCAUACUUAAAGCAAUCUUUUUUAAGGAUUUUAUUUACAAAACAUGCAUGACUGUGAAUGUAAUGAAUAUUUGAUAACCAUACCAUAAAUUUCAGAUAAAUAAUC